RNAcentral lists this small RNA (28 nucleotides) under Bombyx mori (domestic silkworm). Its description in RNAcentral is "ovarian small RNA-11067". The record is from RNAcentral. Lineage: Eukaryota; Metazoa; Arthropoda; Insecta; Lepidoptera; Bombycidae.
ACACUUAGUUUCUAUAUCGAAGGUGUAA